This is a long non-coding RNA of Oreochromis niloticus (Nile tilapia), 2657 nucleotides long. NCBI's taxonomy places the organism in Eukaryota, Metazoa, Chordata, Actinopteri, Cichliformes, Cichlidae. The record is from Ensembl.
ACAGUUCAGUGGGCUACAUACUGAACUUAGUCAGAAACAAUGUAUCGAUCCUAUCUGAUACCAAUACCAGGUUAGUAUCCAUGCCUUCGAUAUUUGGAUCAAUCUGCCCCACCUCUACCACAUAGCACAGGGUCUGCAGAAUGCAGGGGUGUGUUCAGGAGUUUGGGCAUAGGGGGGCGGCUCCACCUUAAAUUAGAUUCGUUUGAGGACAUUUUUAUGGACAUUUGUAAUGUUAGGCCACUUAAGCAGGAUUAUGACUUUCAUUUAAGUAAACUGUAUAAGGGCACAAGGCUGCACAUGAGCCUGAAAUUUUGCCAACCAAUUUUUCUACUGUACACUCAAUUUCUGAUCAACUAUUCAGAUUUCUCUUUCUUCUUUGUUCUGUCACCCCAUUAAAAAAAAAUCCUGCAAACGCCCCGGACAGAAGGCCUUGUAAAAGUACUUUUCCUUCUUUGUUCAGGUGUGCCUCCAGGGCAUCCUGCCAGAAAGCAUUAAUGGCAAUUUUUUUUUCUCAAAGUGACCAGAGAAGGAAAUGAUCCAAGUGGGUGACGUUUCUAGAUAAGAGCCUCAGCAGCAGGCCUGUUUGCCCGGGCUCAUUUGCCCGCCGCUCACCUGUCCGUCAUGAGAAGAGUUGACCUUUAACCAGCAGUGAGUGGCUCUCCCUGUCACGGGUACCUGGGCUGUUCUCAAGGGAAAUUUGGACUAAAUUCCGCACCACAUUUUUAAGAUGUUCUCUAAAUCCAGCCUGAAUGCUGAAGGCUUACUGAACCGGUUAAAAUAGGAUGUCAACAAGUGACGCAGGAGCGCUGGCGCUCAGAGUUGUAGGAGGAGAGACAGCUACGCCUCUGUACGGGACACCACCACCAGCAGCAGCUACAACGACACGGGCUACAACUGCAAGAGAACAACAAGAUGAAACAUUUGGUGAAACAUUCAAGCAGGAGGAACACCAUGGUGACAAACGCCCAGCUGAGCAGUUUUCUCACCAAACAGCAAUCACACAGAAGGAAACACACAAAGCACUAAUAUUGACAGCAGACGAGCUAAGAAAGGACCAAACUUCUUCUUCAGGUGGUGCAGAUAUCCAGGUCCAGCAGUCCAGCUUCACCUCCUGCCACGUCCUCAGACUCUCCACUAAUCCAGGCAUAAAACAAAGCAAGAGUUUUUACAGAUUGAUUGAACCACAGCGAGUUGAGACCAAGGACAGCAGUUUUCAGAUUAAUGGAAGAACGUCUGCAUCACAAACCUCUAUAGAGGCACCCAGCAUCUAUCGAUUGUCAGAGGCAAUACCAUUUCCAGCCAAGGAGAAAGACAAGGUCAUCACUGCUAAUUGCAAUGAACUGGAGAUUACCAGGGACUUGAGCAGAACUCAGGCUUUUUCAAAUAGUGACUUUGGGACACAUAAGCGUAAUGCCUUGCACAGACUUUCAUUUGGAUCACAACCAAGGACUUACACUGGAUCUCUAACUCGAGCUGAGUCAGAGGGAAAUAUACAGGACCGUACAAAAGGCCUUGCAGACCGUCUUCAGGAGUUAGCUGACCCGCCCAGAACCAUGUUGUCUUCCUCAGUGGUCACGGUUCUCGCUCCUCACUGGAGUGGCCGACUGCGACGUUCCAAAAGAUUUGAUGGAACCGGCAGCUCUGAAGCCCAGGGAAUUACGCAAGAUGGGACAUGUGCUGCAGCAAACCGUGGUUUUCAGCAGACUCAGAGCCAACAUGGUGUGGAGAGGGGCUUAACAGGUGGACUGGGAACCCAACUGAGGCCUCCAUUUUCAGAUCUCAGGAGGAACACAGUGGGCUGGUCAACUAAAAGUGAUCCUUUGAGCUUAGAAUCUAAAAGGGAAAUGAUUAAAACUGUUUCUUUGGAUGUGAACUCAGGAAGGAUGGACAAUAGAAAAAUAGACAGAGGUUCUUUAAGCGCUUUAGCUACCAGUGCCUCUGUAUCGCAGAGCCAACAUGAACAAAGGCGAAAUCCACAAACUGUCCAUCAAGGCGGACACUCAUCUUCAAGCUCCAAACCAACAACCAGCAACGUACUUCUUUCUUUAAGGAGAGGCAACAUCGGUGGCAAGAAUCUCAAUGCAACCUCCCCUCUGAGCAGUUUUCCAAGUGAUCAGAAUGGAAAAUUAUUCACAACACCCCUCUCUCAGAGCUUUCUCAAUAGUAAUGAACAAGAGAGGCCAAAGCCGCUCCUCUCUCCAUCAUCUAUUUCUUACAGGACAACUGAAGCUAGCCCUGUCCUUUCCCCAUCACCCUCCAGCCUGAGAGAGCAGAGCACCUCUGACAGGUUCAUCUUUGCACCUUUACCAGUGGACAAAAAUGCAGACGGCAAAACCCUUUGCCCAACAGUCUCAGACAAUAAAUAGGAUUCAGUCCAGUCUCACAUCCUCACAGACAUUUUUAGGUAAAGGACCAUCAGAAAGUCAACAGAACUACAGGGGGCAGAAGUAAAACUCUACUUUCAGAGACCCCAGUCUCCUUGUCCAGACAGCCCCCAUUUGACUCUUCUGCCCAAGUGAAAACCCAGUCCUUUCCUAAAAGAACCACGCUGAAACAGACUUCCUGGUGGAAGCAAGUUACCCAGGAAAGCAGUUUCCCUUUCACCCCAAAAGACACAACCAACAACAAAGACAAGCCAAACACAACCUUACUUCCAC